UCACACACAUGAAAAACCUUAUGAAUGUGAAGAAUGUAGGGAAGCUUUCUAUUCUAAGUCAGAACUUACUGAACAUCAACGAACUCAUACAGAUGAAAAGCCCUAUGUGAUGUUUAAUAUUGAUUGCCAACUUGACAAGAUCUGGAAUCAUCUGGGAGACAGGCCUAUCGGCAUGCCUGUGAAAGAUUAUCUAGAUUGAGUUAACCUUCGGAGAUGUCUGUAAUUAUCUUUAUUUGGUUAAUUGAAGUGGGAAGACCUACCAUAAAUAUGUGUGGCACUUUCUCUGGUUUAGGAUUAUGUACUGCAUGAAAAGGGAUGGCACCAUUCUGUAGACUGGAGUUCUAGACGACAUGAAAAGAAGGAAGGUAGAUUAAGCAUGAGCAUGUGCUAUUUUCUGCUUCCUGUUUGGUUGCCACUUGGCAAAAUGCCUCAAGCUCCUGCCACCAGAAUCUCUACCAUGUACGAUUGGAUUUCAUGUGUGAGGUACUGCGAGCCACAGCAAAAAGUAACAAAUAUAGGAAAUUGGUUCUAAGAUGUAAGGCGCUGCUCUGAUAAACUGGACUAGAUGAUACUUAGGCCAUUAGCAAUGGCUUUCAUGGGGAAUGUAGAUUUGGAACUUUGGGAUAAUAAAAUCUUUGAAUGCUAUGCUACAGAGUUUAAUGGGCUACUGUGGUUUAAGUUUAUAAGUGCAGACUGUGGCAGCCUUGCUCACAAGGUUUCAGGGAGGAACAAGCAUUAUCAAGAACUGGGCUAGAGACCACUUGUGUGAUCCUUUGUCAAGAAUCUGGCUUCAUUCAACCUGUGAUCUGAGAGCCUAAAUGAUGAAUUUAAAGGAAAAGUACUCAUUUGUUGGGUGAAGAAAAUUUCCAAAAAGGUAAAUAUUCAGGCUGUGGCACAGCUCCUGGUAACUUCACUUAUAAAAGUUUACAAUGAAAAAGUUCCAUUGCGAAGAAGAUAAAUAAAAAAAUGAUUAAACCUUACAGUCUCUCAAGGAUUAGGAAGCUAAAGCAAGGCAAAGCUGCAGGCAAGGCAGGUAUGGAGGAAGAGGCCCUGAUUAGUAACAGGGAUACCCUGCCCUGCCCCCAGACAAUAGGAAAUGUCUGCAUUGCCCUCCUGCCCCACAGGAAAGGCGUCCGCUUGUAAAAAUGCAGACUCAUUUGAAAGAAGAGAACCGGGAUUGAGAAGUCAGCUCAAGGGAUUCCCUGUUCUCUGAAGACAAGUCCCUAGGGAAGUGUUCCUGUAGGGUCAGCACACUGUAGGCGAUAGGUUUGAUCCAAGAAGACAUUUUAUAUUUCUGACUAGCAACGGCCCUUGGAAGCUUUGUGGAUACGACACUAGUUUCAUAGGCAUGGAAGAUGUAACACUGAGGGGUCAGGUAGAUUUGCUCCAAAGUUUCGGAGAGCAGCUGAGGCUAGGCAUUGUUUGUCAAAACUGGAGUCUCUACAGGAAGGCUCUGAAUGCCCACUGCGUGGACCUGUGACGAUAAACUAUAAUUUGCCAUGGAGACUCCAGUAUAUAAGUGAUGCCAAGAGCAUGGCGUCAUCUACCAAGGAAAGCUACAGGCAUGGAGUGGAGCCAGUUGGAUAGCAGAGAUCAAAGGAUGGGGCUUCUGAAGUACUUUGGAUUCCAGGUGAUUCUAUUACAAGUCUCAGAUGCUGUGGACAUAUUGCAGUAAGAUAUAUUGUUUUCCCCGCUGGGUUUCAACCCUAGUUUUUUUCUUUGGGGAAUGGGAAUGUUUAUGCUUUUAUGUAUUGGAACCAUGUAACUUGCUUUUUGAUAUUAAGGGGACUCACAGAGUAUUUCAGAUGAAACUUGGACUUUGGAUAUUAAAACAGUAUUGGAAUUCUUGAAGACUAGGGAUUUUUAGUAUUGUAUCUGACCCACUUUACAUUAUAAAAUGGCCAUCAGCAUAUGGGGACAAGAGAGGAAAAGUUAUGGCUCAACAAUGAUAAUCAUGUCACAUUGACAAGGAAUACAGUUAUGGUGGCUAGUAUUGUCAACUUGACAGGAUCUGGAAUCACCUGGUAGAUGAACAUCUGAGAAUAUCUGGGAAAGAUUUUCUUAAGUUAAUUGGCAUGGAAAGACUGACUUUAAAUGUUUGUAGCCCUAUUUCAUGGGCUGGGGUCUUAGACUUCAUGUAAAGAAGAAAGAUGGCUAAGAAUGAACAUCGUUCUCUGUUUUUGACUGUGGAUGCCACUGGAACAGCUGCCUCAAACUUCUGCUACUGUAACUUCCCUGUCUAGAUGUAUUCUACCUUUGAACUGUGAUCCAAAAUAAAUCCAUCCUUAAUUUGCUGUG
This 2298-nucleotide long non-coding RNA is filed under the name Rattus norvegicus (Norway rat). RNAcentral describes it as "long non-coding RNA NONRATT025606". The record is from RNAcentral. Lineage: Eukaryota; Metazoa; Chordata; Mammalia; Rodentia; Muridae.